RNAcentral lists this ribosomal RNA (1812 nucleotides) under Klebsiella michiganensis. Its description in RNAcentral is "partial 23S ribosomal RNA". It matches the Rfam family "Bacterial large subunit ribosomal RNA", at positions 419 to 2213 of the family's 2925-position model. Lineage: Bacteria; Pseudomonadati; Pseudomonadota; Gammaproteobacteria; Enterobacterales; Enterobacteriaceae. The record is from RNAcentral.
GGGACACGUGGUAUCCUGUCUGAAUAUGGGGGGACCAUCCUCCAAGGCUAAAUACUCCUGACUGACCGAUAGUGAACCAGUACCGUGAGGGAAAGGCGAAAAGAACCCCGGCGAGGGGAGUGAAAAAGAACCUGAAACCGUGUACGUACAAGCAGUAGGAGCCCACUAGUUGGGUGACUGCGUACCUUUUGUAUAAUGGGUCAGCGACUUAUAUUCUGUAGCAAGGUUAACCGUAUAGGGGAGCCGCAGGGAAACCGAGUCUUAACUGGGCGUUAAGUUGCAGGGUAUAGACCCGAAACCCGGUGAUCUAGCCAUGGGCAGGUUGAAGGUUGGGUAACACUAACUGGAGGACCGAACCGACUAAUGUUGAAAAAUUAGCGGAUGACUUGUGGCUGGGGGUGAAAGGCCAAUCAAACCGGGAGAUAGCUGGUUCUCCCCGAAAGCUAUUUAGGUAGCGCCUCGUGAACUCAUCUUCGGGGGUAGAGCACUGUUUCGGCUAGGGGGUCAUCCCGACUUACCAACCCGAUGCAAACUACGAAUACCGAAGAAUGUUAUCACGGGAGACACACGGCGGGUGCUAACGUCCGUCGUGAAGAGGGAAACAACCCAGACCGCCAGCUAAGGUCCCAAAGUCAUGGUUAAGUGGGAAACGAUGUGGGAAGGCCCAGACAGCCAGGAUGUUGGCUUAGAAGCAGCCAUCAUUUAAAGAAAGCGUAAUAGCUCACUGGUCGAGUCGGCCUGCGCGGAAGAUGUAACGGGGCUAAACCAUGCACCGAAGCUGCGGCAGCGACGCUUAUGCGUUGUUGGGUAGGGGAGCGUUCUGUAAGCCGUUGAAGGUGGCCUGUGAGGGUUGCUGGAGGUAUCAGAAGUGCGAAUGCUGACAUAAGUAACGAUAAUGCGGGUGAAAAACCCGCACGCCGGAAGACCAAGGGUUCCUGUCCAACGUUAAUCGGGGCAGGGUGAGUCGACCCCUAAGGCGAGGCCGAAAGGCGUAGUCGAUGGGAAACAGGUUAAUAUUCCUGUACUCGGUGUUACUGCGAAGGGGGGACGGAGAAGGCUAUGUUGGCCGGGCGACGGUUGUCCCGGUUUAAGCAUGUAGGCGGAUGUUCCAGGUAAAUCCGGAACGUUACUAACGCUGAGGUGUGAUGACGAGGCACUACGGUGCUGAAGUGACAAAUGCCCUGCUUCCAGGAAAAGCCUCUAAGCAUCAGGUAACAUCAAAUCGUACCCCAAACCGACACAGGUGGUCAGGUAGAGAAUACCAAGGCGCUUGAGAGAACUCGGGUGAAGGAACUAGGCAAAAUGGUGCCGUAACUUCGGGAGAAGGCACGCUGAUGGUAGGUGAAGUGACUUGCUCAUGGAGCUGAAAUCAGUCGAAGAUACCAGCUGGCUGCAACUGUUUAUUAAAAACACAGCACUGUGCAAACACGAAAGUGGACGUAUACGGUGUGACGCCUGCCCGGUGCCGGAAGGUUAAUUGAUGGGGUUAUCCGUAAGGAGAAGCUCUUGAUCGAAGCCCCGGUAAACGGCGGCCGUAACUAUAACGGUCCUAAGGUAGCGAAAUUCCUUGUCGGGUAAGUUCCGACCUGCACGAAUGGCGUAAUGAUGGCCAGGCUGUCUCCACCCGAGACUCAGUGAAAUUGAACUCGCUGUGAAGAUGCAGUGUACCCGCGGCAAGACGGAAAGACCCCGUGAACCUUUACUAUAGCUUGACACUGAACACUGGUCCUUGAUGUGUAGGAUAGGUGGGAGGCUUUGAAGUGUGGACGCCAGUCUGCAUGGAGCCAUCCUUGAAAUACCACCCUUUAAUGG